Molecule: antisense RNA, 81 nt
Filed under: Pseudidiomarina salinarum
Lineage: Bacteria; Pseudomonadati; Pseudomonadota; Gammaproteobacteria; Alteromonadales; Idiomarinaceae
Description: antisense RNA of dnaA mRNA
Rfam family: antisense RNA of dnaA mRNA
Source: Rfam by way of RNAcentral
UUUCGCGUCUUUCUUAUGCCCCAUAAUGGCAUUACCAACGGCAUGCAACAGAUGGGUUUUACCCAAGCCGGUACCGCCGUA